UUUUCAAUGACUUUACAACUUUUGAAGAGCACUGCUGUGGAUACACAGAAGAGAGUGAUUCUCAACCACAAAGAAAUGAAGGUGACGGGGUCUGUGAUGGGGACUUAAAUGAACAAGAGGUUUAGAAACACUAAUUCAAGUCUAUCCCCUUCAUAAUACAAAUAAAGAACCUAUGACCCAUUAGACCUAUAAA
Homo sapiens (human) is the source of this 193-nucleotide long non-coding RNA. NCBI's taxonomy places the organism in Eukaryota, Metazoa, Chordata, Mammalia, Primates, Hominidae. The record is from Ensembl.